RNAcentral lists this ribosomal RNA (517 nucleotides) under uncultured bacterium. Its description in RNAcentral is "bacterial SSU rRNA". It matches the Rfam family "Bacterial small subunit ribosomal RNA", at positions 36 to 507 of the family's 1533-position model. The record is from RNAcentral.
CUGGCGGCGUGCCUAAUACAUGCAAGUCGAACGCAUUGUGGUUGAAAUGAUAUGAAGAACUUGUUCAGAUUUGAUUUUAAACAUUGCAAUGAGUGGCGAACGGGUGAGUAACACGUGGGAAACCUACCUCUUAGCAGGGGAUAACAUUUGGAAACAAAUGCUAAUACCGUAUAAUAAUUAAAACCGCAUGGUUUUAGUUUAAAAGAUGGUCUUGCUAUCACUAAGAGAUGGUCCCGCGGUGUAUUAGUUAGUUGGUGAGGUAAUGGCUCACCAAGACAAUGAUACAUAGCCGAGUUGAGAGACUGACCGGCCACAAUGGGACUGAGACACGGCCCAUACUCCUACGGGAGGCAGCAGUAGGGAAUCUUCCACAAUGGACGAAAGUCUGAUGGAGCAACGCCGCGUGUGUGAUGAAGGGUUUCGGCUCGUAAAACACUGUUGUAAGAGAAGAACGACAUUGAGAGUAACUGUUCAAUGUGUGACGGUAUCUUACCAGAAAGGAACGGCUAAAUACGUG